UGUCAUAGAUAAAAAAUGCCUGUACCAUAACCGACACAGGUGGGUAGGUAGAGUAUACUAAGGGGCGCGAGAUAACUCUCUCUAAGGAACUCGGCAAAAUGACUCCGUAACUUCGGGAGAAGGAGUGCCUUAUUUAUAAGGUUGCAAUAACAAGAUCCAAGCAACUGUUUAUCAAAAACACAGGUCUCCGCUAAGUCGUAAGACGAUGUAUGGGGGCUGACGCCUGCCCAGUGCCAGAAGGUUAAAGAAGUUGGUUAGUGUAUGCGAAGCUGAUGACUGAAGCCCUGGUGAACGGCGGCCGUAACAAUAACGGUCCUAAGGUAGCGAAAUUCCUUGUCGGGUAAGUUCCGACCCGCACGAAAGGCGUAAUGAUUUGGAUACUGUCUCGGGGAGAGGCUCGGUGAAAUAGACUUGUCUGUGAAGAUGCGGACUACCUGCACCAGGACAGAAAGACCCUAUGAAGCUUUACUGUAACUUGAAAUUGGAAUUGGACUUUGCUUGCGCAGUAUAGGUGGGAAGCGUUGAAGAUAUUCUUGCGGGAGUAUUGGAGCUAUCAGUGAGAUACCACUCUUGUAAUGUUAGAUUUCUAACUUUGAACCAUAAUCUGGUCAAAGAACAGUUUCAGGUGGGCAGUUUGACUGGGGCGGUCGCCUCCCAAAUGGUAACGGAGGCGUACAAAGGUUUCCUCUGAACGGAUAGAAAUCGUAUCUAGAGUGUAAAGGCAUAAGGAAGCUUGACUGUGAGACCUACAAGUCGAGCAGGGACGAAAGUCGGUCUUAGUGAUCUGACGGUACUGAGUGGAAAGGCCGUCACUCAACGGAUAAAAGUUACUCUAGGAUAACAGGCUGAUCUCCCCCAAGAGUUCACAUCGACGGGGAGGUUUGGCACCUCGAUGUCGGCUCAUCGCAUCCUGGGGCGGUAGUACGUCCAAAGGGUUGGGCUGUUCGCCCAUGAAAGCGGUACGCGAGCUGGGUUCAGAACGUCGUGAGACAGUUCGGUCCAUAUCCGGUGUAGGCGUUAGAAUAUUGAGAGGAGCCUUCUUUAGUACGAGAGGACCGAGAAGGACACACCGCUGGUGUACCAGUUAUCGUGCCAACGGUAAACGCUGGGUAGCUAUGUGUGGAGUGGAUAACCGCUGAAAGCAUCUAAGUGGGAAGCCCACCUCAAGAUGAGUAUUCUCAUCACUAUAAGUGAGUAAGGUCACGGUAAGACUAACCGUUUGAUAGGCAUUAAGUGUAAAUGUAGUAAUGCAUGUGCUGAGAUGUCCUAACAGACCGAGGACU
This 1283-nucleotide ribosomal RNA is filed under the name metagenome. RNAcentral describes it as "bacterial LSU rRNA". It matches the Rfam family "Bacterial large subunit ribosomal RNA", at positions 1623 to 2925 of the family's 2925-position model. The record is from RNAcentral.